GUGAAUCUGUAGCCUCCGAGGCUCACAUUCUCUAUCCUUUACACACCUGUGCACCCUUCUGAAGCGGAGAGUUAUUAGGCAUUCGCCGAGCGCCUCCCUUCGGUUAUAUUACAUCAACUUCAAACCACGUUUACUAGAAUGUAUACCGUCUUGUUGUAACGACAAGUACAAUCCAAUA
RNAcentral lists this unclassified non-coding RNA (178 nucleotides) under uncultured Geminibasidium. Its description in RNAcentral is "sequence contains ITS1". The record is from RNAcentral. Lineage: Eukaryota; Fungi; Basidiomycota; Geminibasidiomycetes; Geminibasidiales; Geminibasidiaceae.